This 433-nucleotide ribosomal RNA is filed under the name uncultured bacterium. RNAcentral describes it as "partial 16S ribosomal RNA". It matches the Rfam family "Bacterial small subunit ribosomal RNA", at positions 29 to 507 of the family's 1533-position model. The record is from RNAcentral.
AGCGAACGCUGGCGGCAGGCUUAACACAUGCAAGUCGAGCGGGCCCUUCGGGGUUUGCGGCGGACGGGUGAGUAACGCGUGGGAACGUGCCUUCUGGUUAGGUAUAACUCACGGUAACAUGAGUUAAUAACGGAUAGGCCCUUUUGGGGAAAGGUUUACUGCGGGAUGAUCGGGGCGGGUCUGAUUGGCUAGUUGGUGGUGUAUUGGCCUCCCAAUGCGACGUUCAGGAGCUGGUCUGUGAGGAUGAUCAGGCACACUGGGACUGAGACACGGCCCACACUCCGACGGAAGGCAGCAGUGGAGAGUAUUGUACAAGGAGCGCAAGCCUGAUCCAGCCAUGCCGCGUGAGUGAUGAAGGCCUUAGUGUUGUAAAGCUCUUUUAGCCGGGACGAUAAUGACGGUACCGGAUGAAUAAGCCCCGGCUAACUUCGUG